GUGCCACGCCUGAGCUCUUAAAUCCACAACACACCUGUGAACCCACCGUAGGCCUUCGGGCUUAUGUAUCAUAUACUCUGAAUGUGUCRUAGAAUGUUCAUGUUGCCUUAAAACGCAAUCAAAUACAACUUUCAACAACGGAUCUCUUGGCUCUCGCAUCGAUGAAGAACGCAGCGAAAUGCGAUAAGUAAUGUGAAUUGCAGAUUUUCAGUGAAUCAUCGAAUCUUUGAACGCACCUUGCGCUCCUUGGUAUUCCGAGGAGCAUGCCUGUUUGAGUGUCAUUAAAUUCUCAACCCCACCGAUUUGUUUUGGGGGGAUUGGACUUGGAGUGUGCUGGCGAAGGUCGGCUCCUCUUUAAUGCAUCAGUGGAGAGAAACUUGCCCCAGUGUGAUAAUCCUGUUGUGCUGUGGUGGGUGAAAGUCUGCUUUCAACUGUCCUCCGGGACGAUACACCAUCUUAUUUUGACCUCAAAUCAGGUAGGACUACCCGCUGAACUUAAGCAUAUCAAUAAGCGGAGGAAAAGAAACUAACAAGGAUUCCCCUAGUAACUGCGAGUGAAGCGGGAAAAGCUCAAAUUUAAAAUCUGGCGGUCGUCCUGGCCGUCCGAGUUGUAAUCUGGAGAAGUGUUUUCCGCGUCGGACCGUGUACAAGUCU
This 654-nucleotide ribosomal RNA is filed under the name uncultured Amphinema. RNAcentral's name for it is "eukaryotic LSU rRNA". The stretch from base 127 to 281 matches the Rfam family "5.8S ribosomal RNA". Lineage: Eukaryota; Fungi; Basidiomycota; Agaricomycetes; Atheliales; Atheliaceae. The record is from RNAcentral.